RNAcentral lists this ribosomal RNA (253 nucleotides) under uncultured bacterium. RNAcentral's name for it is "partial 16S ribosomal RNA". It matches the Rfam family "Bacterial small subunit ribosomal RNA", at positions 524 to 776 of the family's 1533-position model. The record is from RNAcentral.
UACGAAGGUCCCGAGCGUUGUUCGGAAUCACUGGGCGUAAAGGGAGCGUAGGCGGCGUGGUAAGUCAGAUGUGAAAUCCCGGGGCUCAACCCCGGAACUGCAUCCGAUACUGCCGUGCUAGAGUGAUGGAGAGGUAGCUGGAAUUCACGGUGUAGCAGUGAAAUGCGUGGAUAUCGUGAGGAACACUCGUGGCGAAAGCGAGCUACUGGACAUUGACUGACGCUGAGGCUCGAAGGCCAGGGGAGCGAAAGGG